GGGCACAUGGUGUACUAGUAGUUGGUUAUCACAUCCGCUUAGCAUCCGCAUAUACCGUUGCUUCUGCGGGGGGUGCUGGGUUCAAUUCCCAGUGUGUCCA
Non-coding RNA from Paramarasmius palmivorus, 100 nucleotides. Lineage: Eukaryota; Fungi; Basidiomycota; Agaricomycetes; Agaricales; Marasmiaceae. The record is from the annotation of a GenBank genome assembly.